AGCUCCAGUAGCGUAUAUCAACGUUGUUGCAGUUAAAAAGCUCGUAGUUGGAUUUCUGAUUCGAGUGACCCAUCGCGUAGUAUCGUCCAAGUGAUGAUCUUCGUUGUAUGUUGGUAUGUCUCAAUCAUCUGUCUAUCUCAUGGUGGUGUUGUUCUUUAUUGAAUGGCAUCGUUUCAUGGUUAGACCAUUUACUUUGAAAAAAUCGGAGUGUUUCAAGCAGGAUGUAUUGUCCUUUGAACAGAUUAGCAUGGAAUAAUAAGAUAGGACUUUUGUUUUAUUUUGUUGGUUUUCUAAACGGAAGUAAUGAUUGAUAGGAGUGGUUGGGGGUGCUUGUAUUCCAUGGCCAGAGGUGAAAUUCUUGGAUUCAUGGAAGACAAACUAAUGCGAAAGCAUUCGCCAA
This 400-nucleotide ribosomal RNA is filed under the name phytoplankton environmental sample. RNAcentral describes it as "partial small subunit ribosomal RNA". It matches the Rfam family "Eukaryotic small subunit ribosomal RNA", at positions 587 to 961 of the family's 1831-position model. The record is from RNAcentral.